AUGGCUGCCUCUGCACUCGUUUUUGCAGGGAAAUCUGUGGCGACUUCGGCCAUAUCCUUCUUGGUCAACAAGGCUUUCAGCUACAUCGAUGAGUACUGCAAGUCCGAAAGCAUGGAUGAGUUGAAGAAUCGGCUCCUGCGGGCCAUGCCACAUAUCCAGGCGGUGUUUGAUGUCGUCAACCCAGAACUUGUCAGGGAGCAGAGCAGCGGCCUCGACGCGUGGCUCUGGCAGCUCAGGGACGCGGUCGAGACGGCGGAGGACGCCAUCGAUGAGCUUGAAUACUACGAGCUCGAGGAGAAGGCCAAGGACCAAAAGGUUAGUGAAUGGGGUUCUCCUCUUGUUAAGAUGAAGCACAAGUUUGUCAGGUCUCUUGGCCCUGCUGUCAACAAGACUAUCAAGAAAAUUAGUCACCGUGAUACUCUGAAGAGAUUGAUGAAAUCUGUGGAUGAUUUAGACAAGGCUGCCAUAGGUGUUAGUGAUUUCCUCAAGCUCACAGACCAUCUCAGUGGAGGUUCUUCUACCAGCAGUCAGCAGAAAGUUCAGAAGCUCAUGGACAAUGAUCGCCAGACUAGUUCAAUAUUAAGUGCAACCAUUUUUAUUGGACGAGAAAAGGAGAAAGAACAGAUUAUUGGAUGGCUAACCAACACGUCAGAUGAAUUGGGAGAAACUAGGGUCAGAAGGACCAAUAGUAUUCCAAUUAUUUCAGUUAUUGGUCAUGGUGGCAUGGGGAAGACUACCUUGGCUCAGAGCAUAUUGUUGAAGUAUAUUGCCCGCCUCUCUCCAUCAGUUCGGACUUUUGGAUGA
RNAcentral lists this ribosomal RNA (804 nucleotides) under Triticum aestivum (bread wheat). RNAcentral's name for it is "partial small subunit ribosomal RNA". Lineage: Eukaryota; Viridiplantae; Streptophyta; Magnoliopsida; Poales; Poaceae. The record is from RNAcentral.